RNAcentral lists this ribosomal RNA (750 nucleotides) under uncultured bacterium. RNAcentral describes it as "partial 16S ribosomal RNA". The record is from RNAcentral.
CGGCUACCUUGUUACGACUUAGUCCCAGUCACCGAACCUAGCGUAGACACCAUCGAAUUAUGGCGGCUUCGGCUAUUUCCGGCUCCCAUGACUUGACGGGCGGUGUGUACAGGGCUCAGGAACACAUUCACCGCGGCGUAGCUGAUCCGCGAUUACUAGCGAUUCCAACUCCACGGAGGCGGGUUGCAGCCUCCGAUCUGAACUGGGGGGUGAUUUUUGCGUUUUCCAUGCACUUGCGCGCUAGGUUCGCUUUGUCCACCCCAUUGUAGCACGUGUGUGGCCCUGGGUAUAAAGGCCAUGGGGACUUGACGUCAUCUCCACCUUCCUCCGGUUUGACACCGGCAGUCCCCCUAGAGUCCCCGACUUUACUCGAUGGUAACUAAGGGCAAAGGUUUCGCUCGUUAUGGGACUUAACCCGACAUCUCACGACACGAGCUGACGACAGCCAUGCAGCACCUGUCCAAGUUGUACCCCGAAGGGCCUACUCCACUUUCAUGGAGAUAAUCCAAGGAUGUCAAACCCAGGUAAGGUUCUGCGCGUUGCUUCGAAUUAAACCACAUGCUCCACCGCUUGUGUGAGCCCCCGUCAAUUCCUUUGAGUUUUAGCCUUGCGACCGUACUUCCCAGGCGGUCCACUUAACAUUUUUACUUCGACCACAACACCGUCAAAAGUGCUGCGAUCUAGUGGACAUCGUUUAGGGCCAGGGCUACCGGGGUAUCUAAUCCCGUUUGCUCCCCCUGGCUUUCGUGU